AUUGAACGCUGGCGGCAGGCCUAACACAUGCAAGUCGAACGAGUGGCGGACGGGUGAGUAAUGUCUGGGAAACUGCCUGAUGGCGGGGGAUAACUACUGGAAACGGUAGCUAAUACCGCAUACCAUCAGAUGUGCCCAGAUGGGAUUAGCCUGUUGGUGGGGUAACGGCUCACCAAGGCGCCGAUCCCUAGCUGGUCUGAGAGGAUGACCGGCCACCGUGGAACUCGGACACGGUCCAGGCGCCUACGGGGGGCAGCAGUGGUGAAUAUUGCACAAUGGGGGAAAGCCUGAUGCAGCCAGGCGGCGUGGAUGAAGAAGGCCGUCGGGUUGUAAAGUACUUGCAGCGGGGAGGCGUUACCCGCAGAAGAGGCGCCGGCUAACUCCGCGCGAGCAGCCGCGGUAAUAC
RNAcentral lists this ribosomal RNA (406 nucleotides) under uncultured bacterium. Its description in RNAcentral is "partial 16S ribosomal RNA". It matches the Rfam family "Bacterial small subunit ribosomal RNA", at positions 29 to 526 of the family's 1533-position model. The record is from RNAcentral.